RNAcentral lists this ribosomal RNA (254 nucleotides) under uncultured bacterium. RNAcentral's name for it is "partial 16S ribosomal RNA". It matches the Rfam family "Bacterial small subunit ribosomal RNA", at positions 524 to 776 of the family's 1533-position model. The record is from RNAcentral.
UACGUAGGGUGCGAGCGUUUGUCCGGAUUUAUUGGGCGGUAAAGGGCUCGUAGGCGGCGUGUCGCGUCGGGAGUGAAAGACCGGGCUUAACCCCGGUUCUGCUUCCGGUACGGGCAUGCUGGAGUGUGGCAGGGGAGACUGGAAUUCCUGGUGUAGCGGUGGAAUGCGCAGAUAUCAGGAGGAACACCGGUGGCGAAGGCGGGUCUCUGGGCCAUUACUGACGCUGAGGAGCGAAAGCGUGGGGAGCGAACAGG